UACGUACCGGACAAACGUUAUUCGGAAUUACUGGGCUUAAAGAGUGCGUAGGCGGCUUUGAAGGUGGGGUGUGAAAGCCCACGGCUCAACCGUGGAAUUGCGCUCCAAACCGCAAGGCUUGAGGAAGACAGAGGUGAGCGGAACUGAUGGUGGAGCGGUGAAAUGCGUUGAUAUCAUCAGGAACACCCGUGGCGAAGGCGGCUCACUGGGUCUUUUCUGACGCUGAGGCACGAAAGCUAGGGGAGCGAACGGGAUUAGAUACCCCGGUAGUCCUAGCUGUAAACGAUGAGCACUAGAUCGUGGGGACUUCCACAUCCUCUCGGUCGUAGCGAAAGUGUUAAGUGCUCCGCCUGGGGAGUAUGGUCGCAAGGCUGAA
Molecule: ribosomal RNA, 376 nt
Filed under: uncultured bacterium
Lineage: Bacteria
Description: bacterial SSU rRNA
Rfam family: Bacterial small subunit ribosomal RNA
Source: RNAcentral